This 395-nucleotide unclassified non-coding RNA is filed under the name soil metagenome. RNAcentral's name for it is "partial contains 5.8S ribosomal RNA, internal transcribed spacer 2, and large subunit ribosomal RNA". The stretch from base 1 to 120 matches the Rfam family "5.8S ribosomal RNA", at positions 35 to 154 of the family's 154-position model. The record is from RNAcentral.
GAUGAAGAACGCAGCGAAAUGCGAUAGGUAAUGUGAAUUGCAGAAUUCAGUGAAUCAUCGAAUCUUUGAACGCACCUUGCGCCUUUUGGUAUUCCGAAAGGCACACCUGUUUGAGCGUCAUGAAUACCUCAAUCUCCAUCUUUUCUUCGGAUUGAUGGGUGACUUGGAUGUUGAGCCCUGCUGGUAUGCUAUAUCAGCUGGCUUUAAACUUAUUAGCCGGCUCUGUACUGGAUCGGUUUGACUCGACGUGAUAAUAUUAUCGUUGAGGAUGCAUGUCUCAUGCAGCCGGAAAGUAUCAAAGCAGCUUCUAGCUUGCCUUUAGUGCACUUUUACAUUUUAGACCUCAGAUCAGGUGGGACUACCCGCUGAACUUAAGCAUAUCAAUAAGCGGAGGA